UCGGUUCCUAUUGAAACGAGGACAC
This 25-nucleotide small RNA is filed under the name Bombyx mori (domestic silkworm). Its description in RNAcentral is "ovarian small RNA-29067". The record is from RNAcentral. Lineage: Eukaryota; Metazoa; Arthropoda; Insecta; Lepidoptera; Bombycidae.